Molecule: ribosomal RNA, 615 nt
Filed under: Aphelenchoides sp. Ap052
Lineage: Eukaryota; Metazoa; Nematoda; Chromadorea; Rhabditida; Aphelenchoididae
Description: eukaryotic LSU rRNA
Rfam family: Eukaryotic large subunit ribosomal RNA
Source: RNAcentral
GACGUAUCUAGUGCGUAUUCAGCUGUUAGCGCCAGCGAUUCAUUGCUGUGUAGUUCUGUAACAUUGUCUACCUACAAUGCUUUGUCGUUGGUGUUAGCGGUGCAUUUGCGUACAGAGUGCGCCGAAUCAAUUGGAUGCGUUGUUUGAAACCAAUGAAGAGGACCAUACGCAAGUCAUGGAACCCUAUCUUGGUGAAUGACAAUUGCAUCUAAUUGUACACACAAAGAACUGGUGUAUUCGUGCCUGUUGAUUGUGAUUUAGGCUAUUUGUGUGUAGUGCUUGCAUUUUACAUUUAUAGUUUAAGUUGCUGUUAGUGGGUGCUCUGUUCUUAUUCGGUGUCUAGUCGGUCACCCAUUUGACCCGUCUUGAAACACGGACCAAGGAGUUUAAGGUUUACGCAAGUCAUUGAGUGUACAAAACUUAAAGGCGUAAUGAAAGUGGGACACUUAGUGUCUGUGAUGUGAUGUGUUGUUGUUUCGACAACUUCACAGCAGCAUCGACCCAUGUCUAGAAUUUUCAUUCUGAUGUGGAGUCCGAGCGUAAGCUUUGAGACCCGAAAGAUGGUGAACUAUGCCUGAACAGGACGAAGUCAGAGGAAACUCUGAUGGAAGUCCK